GGGCUGUUAGCUCAGCUGGCAGAGCAGCGGACUCUUAAUCCGACGGUCGCGGGUUCGAUCCCCACACGGCCCACCA
RNAcentral lists this transfer RNA (76 nucleotides) under Burkholderiaceae bacterium. Its description in RNAcentral is "tRNA-Lys". It matches the Rfam family "tRNA". Rfam says of the family: Transfer RNA (tRNA) molecules are approximately 80 nucleotides in length. Lineage: Bacteria; Pseudomonadati; Pseudomonadota; Betaproteobacteria; Burkholderiales; Burkholderiaceae. The record is from RNAcentral.